CGGCGCCGUGGGUCAAAUACCUGCGGCAAGUUUGCCUCAGUCUUUUUGAUUAUCACACAUCAAAAUGUGAUUGAACUUUCGGGUUCUCUCAUUAAACUUGAAUACGACAUAUUUCAAUCCAACGAAGCUGUCACAGUCUUCUGACUCGUGAUUUCGGUGGCUCUUGAGCUAUGACCAGUAUAGAGACGCUAGUCUUUAGAAAUAAUCAGAAGCUGAGGUCAAGCUGGAACACCCGCUGAACUUAA
This 245-nucleotide unclassified non-coding RNA is filed under the name uncultured fungus. Its description in RNAcentral is "sequence contains ITS1". The record is from RNAcentral. Lineage: Eukaryota; Fungi.